This 253-nucleotide ribosomal RNA is filed under the name uncultured bacterium. RNAcentral describes it as "partial 16S ribosomal RNA". It matches the Rfam family "Bacterial small subunit ribosomal RNA", at positions 524 to 776 of the family's 1533-position model. The record is from RNAcentral.
UACGUAGGGUGCGAGCGUUAAUCGGAAUUACUGGGCGUAAAGUGUGCGCAGGUGGCCGCGCAAGUCGAGUGUGAAAUCCCCGGGCUUAACUUGGGAAUUGCGCUCGAAACUACGUGGCUCGAGUGUGGCAGAGGAAGGUGGAAUUCCACGUGUAGCGGUGAAAUGCGUAGAUAUCGGGAGGAACACCAGUGGCGAAGGCGGCAUCCUGGACCGAGAUUGACGCUGAUGCGCGAAAGCCAGGGGAGCAAACGGG